AAGGGUUUUUUCGAUAACUAGCCACUUUACAAUUGCAUUUUAGAAAAAUAGCAAAUUUUUUUAUUUUUUUAAAAACUAGCCAAUAUUUUACCCGUUUGGACUAAAGUACCCUUAUCUACAAAAGUUUUCCUUUCUUCUACACAGCCGUUCGUUCGUGGGGGUGGGGUUUAUACAAAACUGUUCGUGGGGUUUCUCUAAACUCUUUGCAUCUCAUCGCCUCUCACUUUCAUUUUUUUGUAUUUUCUCAGAUCUCAAACUAAAAUCAGUCAAAUGGAAGAUGAUGACAUUGUAAUUGCGGUUUUAUACAAUGGAACAUUGGUACAAAAUGAUAGUGGUGAUUGGGAAUAUCGAAAUGGUAAAAAUGUAAUGGUUUCCGUCGGCAAGAGAUGCACAAAAUCAGAGUUAGAGGACUGUGGCAUAUUUACACUCAAGACCAUCGAAUUCUUACAUGCUAGAUUACCAUUGACAUUCACACAAGAUAACAUGGAGUUCUUUAGGAAGAAGUAUGCAUAUGAGGUUUACAACAAAGAACUUAGCAUAUGAGCUGCGUGGUGAUGCUUUUUUCUUUCCUUUUUUCAUGUUUAUAGAUGCAUAUUAUUUAUUAUAUUUGACUUUUAAUUGUAAAUAUAAUGGUGGCUUAUAAUGUUCAUUUAACAAAGAUAACAAUGUGGUAUUGAUGUAAUGAUAAGUAAUUGACCUUAUAGGAAAUGUGCCAUGUUUAUUUA
This is a long non-coding RNA of Ziziphus jujuba (common jujube), 725 nucleotides long. RefSeq lists it as uncharacterized. The record is from RefSeq and is a predicted model, not a curated record. NCBI's taxonomy places the organism in Eukaryota, Viridiplantae, Streptophyta, Magnoliopsida, Rosales, Rhamnaceae. The transcript has 2 exons.